AGUGAACGCUGGCGGUAGGCCUAACACAUGCAAGUCGAACGGCAGCACAGUAAGAGCUUGCUCUUACGGGUGGCGAGUGGCGGACGGGUGAGGAAUACAUCGGAAUCUACUUUUUCGUGGGGGAUAACGUAGGGAAACUUACGCUAAUACCGCAUACGACCUACGGGUGAAAGCAGGGGAUCUUCGGACCUUUCGCGAUUGAAUGAGCCGAUGUCGGAUUAGCUAGUUGGAGGGGUAAAGGCCCACCAAGGCGACGAUCCGUAGCUGGUCUGAGAGGAUGAUCAGCCACACUGGAACUGAGACACGGUCCAGACUCCUACGGGAGGCAGCAGUGGGGAAUAUUGGACAAUGGGCGAAAGCCUGAUCCAGCCAUACCGCGUGGGUGAAGAAGGCCUUCGGGUUGUAAAGCCCUUUUGUUGGGAAAGAAAAGCAGCAGGUUAAUCCCCCGCUGUUCUGACGGUACCCAAAGAAUAAGCACCGGCUAACUUCGUG
This 492-nucleotide ribosomal RNA is filed under the name uncultured bacterium. RNAcentral describes it as "partial 16S ribosomal RNA". It matches the Rfam family "Bacterial small subunit ribosomal RNA", at positions 29 to 507 of the family's 1533-position model. The record is from RNAcentral.